This 8859-nucleotide long non-coding RNA is filed under the name Pelobates cultripes (western spadefoot toad). Lineage: Eukaryota; Metazoa; Chordata; Amphibia; Anura; Pelobatidae. The record is from RNAcentral.
CUAAGACGACUCUCUGUAACGUCGUUAAGAAAUACCAUCUGUUAAGUAUAUUAUUGUUUGCUGUUGAAUAUAGACAUAUAUUAAUGUUGCGAGCAUUAGGCCCAAGAAGAAAUAUCUAUAUAUAUAUAUAUAUAUAUAUAUAUAUAUAUAUAAAAGACUUAUUCAACUAAAUAAACACAGCCAGUUAUUACAUAGUGAUUUCAUAAAGUAUUGAAGUAUUGGUCCUUAAAAGGAUACUAAAACCCUUUUGAGUGAGGGAUCCUGUACUGUGUAAUAUGCCCUAUUAGACAUAUUAUGUAUAACUCCAACUCCCCCUUUGCAGUAAAACCUGCAAAAAUAAAGAGAUUUACUCACAUUUUUAUGCACAAAGUAACAUAAUGAAGCCCAAAACAAGAGUGGCAUACCUAUGACCACUUCAAAAAGAAAAGUUGGUGAAAACGAUUGGAUUCUGACUGGAUUGAAAAUUCAGAUAUUUACCAACUCUUGUCAAAAUUCUUUCAUUCUGACCAAAUGAAGACUUCUGGCUGGAUACAUUUGGGGUUUGCUUUAAAAUCAGUGCUUUUGACUUAUUUUGACAGAUAUUUGUUUAAGUCUGUGGAAGCUGCCAAUGUAAAAUGUAAAAAAAAAAAAUGCAAAUUGGGUUUCAGUUUAACCCCUCCCCCAACUCUGGGUAGAACAUUUCUUCUUUUUAUAUUUUCUGACCCACAAUGCUUGUUCCAUUCUGAUCCAGAUGUUAGCCAUUCAGUUAGGCUGAAAUGUACACUAUAUGAAAAAAAGCAUUGGGACACAACACUUACUGAACUCAGGUGUUUCAAUCAGACGCAUUAAAAUAGACGAACGUAGCCUUGCAGUCUGCAUUUAUAAACAUUAGUCAAAAAAAUUAGUAAUUCUGCAGACCUCAGUGAAUGCAAGCAUGGUACUGUGUUAGGAUGAUACUUUUGCAAUAAGUCUGGGUUUGGCAGAUGCCAGGAGAACCUGCCUGACUGCAUUGUGACAACUGUAAAGUUUGGUGCAUGAGGUAUAAUGGUAUUGGGCUGUUUUUCACAGAUUGGCCUAGGGCCCUAGGCCCAUUACUUCCAGAAAAGAAAGAUUUGAAUGCUUCAGCAUUCAAUGCUAUGCUUCCAACUUUGUGGAAACAGUUUGAUGAAGGCCCUUUUCUAUUCCAGCAUGACUGUGCCACAGUGGACAAAUCAAGGUCCGUAAAGACAUGGUUGGAUUAGUUUGGUGUGGAAGAACUUGACUGGCAUGCAUACCUUUCGGAUUAAAUGAAACAGAGAUUGCGAGCCAGGCCUUCUCAUCCAAUGAGAUGCCUGACCUCACAAAUGCUGCACUUUAUGAUUGACCAAACAUUCCCACAGAAACACUCCAAAAUCUCAUGUAAACCGUUCCCAGAAGAGUGGAAGGGAACCCUGUGUUUGGCACCUCCCUCCCCCGUCCCCCCCCUACACUUAAAUGUAAAAAAAAUACACACAAUAUUUUUGAAAAUGUUUUCAUUUUUAAAAAUUGCACAAAUGUGUACAUUUGGAAAAAAAACCUGUUCUGCCCCCUUUUACAAAAUCCAUCUCCUGCUGCUUCUCUACAAAAUGUAUGUCCUGCCCCCUUCUACAAAACCUCUGCACCCCCCUUCCACAAAUCCCCUACUAAGCCCCCCUUAUACACCUGUCCCCUUCUACAAACUCCUGCACCCCCGUUCCAUAAAACUCCUGCACACCCCUUCCCAAAAAAACCUGCCUCUUCCUCUAAAGCCCCUGCUCAGCCCCUAACAAUACAAUUAUUAUUUUUUUACACAACAAUAUUAGCAACAGUUUUCAGAGACCAGUCCCAGGCACAUAGUCACUCGCACACAGUCACACACAUAGUUACAGGCAGAAAGUCACACACACACGCAGACAGUCACAUGCAGAUAGCCACACACACAGUUAAAGGCAGCAUCCCCCAAUCACAGGCACACUGUCACACACACAUAGUCACAUGCAGACAGUCACACACAGACACACUGUCCCACACAGCCAGUCACAGGUAGACAAUCACACACACACGCACACACACACACACACACAAACACAAACACAGCCACAGGCAGACAGUCACACACACAAUCACAGGGGCAGACACACACACACACAAUCACAGGCAGACAGUUACACAUGCACACAAUUACAGGCAGACAGUCACACACACACACAGAGCCAGAAACAAAUAUUAAAACUUUAUUUACUCAGCCAUACUCUGAGCAUAACCCAGACCUGCCACGUUGGUAUCCUAGGCUGCUGCACAAAACCUACACAUCACCUGAUGUUUGAGAACAAAUGCCCUGAGGAAUGGAAUAAAAUAAUAUGAUCUCAUAUUUUUUACCUGAUUUUUUUUUUUAGGUUUAGAGAAAGUGACUUUAUAUUAACCCCUUGGUGACCAGACCGUUUUUCCGUUUUCUUACCGUUAAGGACCAGGGCUCUUUUUAAAUUUCUGCGGUGUUUGUGUUUUGCUGUAAUUUUCCUCUUAUUCAUUUACUGUACCCACACAUAUUAUAUACCGUUUUUCUCACCAUUAAAUGGUCUUUCUAAAGAUACCAUUAUUUUCAUCAUAUCAUAUAAUUCACUAUAAACAAACAUUAUCUGUCAGUCCCUACAUUGGCUUCCUGUAAGAUAUAGGGCUCAAAUUCUGGUUCUUGCUUUCAAAUCUCUACAUAAUGCUGCUCCCACCUAUCUAUCCUCCCUUAUACACAAGUAUGUCCCGUCUAGGCCCUUACGAUCUGCUGAAGACUUACGUCUAUCUUCUGUCCGUACUCCCACCUCUGAUGCCUGAUGCUUGCCUUCAAGACUUCUUGAGGGCUACACAGUUCCUGUGGAACUCACUUCCCUCCUCCGUUAGAUGUCACCCAGUCUCCACUCCUUCAAAAAAUCAUUAAAAACCCACUUCUUCAUAAAAGCAUAUCAAUUAAACUGUUAAUAGCUCCUGACUGAUUCCUCUCUUACAACUGAGACUGGGCCCCUUAAAACAGCAUUAACACCCAGCACUCCCAAGCAACCAAGUCCUGCUGAAUCUUCAGAGCAGAGGUAUUAUCUCUGGAAGAUCAACUCAAGAAUACCUGCAUUACUGUUUCCUUUGAACUCUUAUUUUCAAACUGUGUUCUAUUCCAUCUCCCUCCCUAUACUACCACUACUUAAUUGAUAACUAUAUCUCCCAUCCUGAUCUUCUGUUUUUGUUUUUAUUAAGGCUGGUAUGAUCAUGUAAUUUUAUGUUCAUUCUCUUAGACUCUUUGUUAAUGGUUUGUUUGUUUAGCUAGUGUUACUACUCUCACUGAUAAUAUAGUAAAUUUAUGUUCAUGGUUUAUGACUUUCACCUAUCUGAUCCUUCCUAUCUUUUUAUCCCAAAUGUUCUCUCCUUUUAGUUUUUCAUCUCUAAUUAAUUACCUCAAUAGCCCCAUGUCUCCCCACCCAUAACAGUGUGUUUUAUUUCAUUUUUUUUUCUAACCUCAGACCUUAUAUUUCAGACUGGGCCCCUUAAAACAGCAUUAACACCCAGCACUCCCAAGCAACCAAGUCCUGCUGAAUCUUCAGAGCAGAGGUAUCAUCUCUGGAAGAUUGCCCACCCUCCCCACACCAUCCCACCCCAUGGUCAUCAACUUAUUUAUAGAUAGUGCACAUCAGCAGGUUUCCUUAACACCACUCAUUAAGUCAUUAAACCACUCUUCACAUGAAUUCUUUUAACACACUGCAUCCUUACAAUGGUUUAAACACUCAUUGAUAUUUGUGUGUGUUUGUAUAUAUGAUCUACAUAUCUAUAUAAUACACAUUUUCUCUAAUGUUCUCCCUUCUAUUUUUCACUUUAACACUAACUUCUGUCAUUACUAAAAUAUCCCUAUCCUUUCACUCACCUGUCCCUGGCAACACCAUCAUCAUUACUUCCACCUUACUCCCCUCCCCUCUCUAUUCAUCCCAUGCACUCUACACAUACCUUUCCAGCCUAUCUCCACCAACUCUUUCCAAAUCCUCUACAUACAUACCCUCCUACAAAACUUUAAAAUCCUACUCCAACCUUCACUUCCUUUCUAUCCUUCUGCUCCUAGCAGCUGGUGAUGUCUCUCCAAACCCCGGUCCCCUCUCAACAAACUCAGCACAUACUAACCCAAGGAUCCACACUAAUCUCAUACCCAUCUCUUGUUCCUCUAAAUCCUCCUUCAAUACUGCCCGCACGCUCUGUUUGCAAUAUAACGCACGCUCUGUUUGCAAUAUAACUAAAUCCACUGCUGUCCAUGACUUCUUCAUCUCUCGUUCAAUAGAUUUACUAGCCUUAACAGAAACCUGGCUCUCCCCCUCUGACACUGCCACCCCUGCAUCUUUGUCCUUCGGUGGUCUCCAACUUACCCACAACCCAAGAAACUCUGAAUGUAAAGGAGGUGGUGUUGGGUUUCUCCUCUCCCCUCACUGCUCUUUUAAACCUCUUCCCACCCCCCCUUCCCUCUCUUUCCCGUCAUUUCAAAUACACUCAAUUCGCCUUUUCAAACCCUUCUCUACUAACAUUGCUGUUAUUUACCGUCCCCCUGGUUCCCCUCUUCUCUUCCUUGACCACUUUGCUGCCUGGCUACCCUAUUUCCUCUCUUCUAACAUUCCAUCCCUAAUUCUCGGGGACUUCAAUAUUCCUAUAAACCCACCCUUGACCUCUGCAGCCAAUAAACUACUUUCAAUUACUUCCUCCCUCGGGCUAUCACAGUGGGCAAAUUCUCCCACCCAUGUAGCUGGCAAUACCCUUGACCUAAUCUUCACUUACGCAUGUACUGUAUCUAAUAUCUGCAACAUUCCGUAUCCACUCUCUGAUCACCACCUCUUAUCGUUUGCUCUCACGUACCCCCUCACCCAACAACCUCCGCCUAACCAGCCUCAACUCAGGAGGGACCUUAAUUCUCUUGAUCUCCAACAGUUGUCAGCUGACAUUGAUUCACAACUGCUGUCCAUCCCUUCCCUCUCCUGUCCUUCACUGGCCAUCUCCAUAUAUAACUCUACCCUUACAUCUGCCUUGAACACUGCAGCGCCACUCCAAACAAGCUCCUCAAGGAGGACUCGCCCCCAACCAUGGCAUACUAAAUCAACGUGCUACCUGCAAAGAUGCUCCCGUUGUGCUGAACGCUCCUGGAGGAAGUCUCGCACCCAGUCAGACUUUCUCCAUUAUAGAUUCAUAUUGUGUUCAUACAGUGCAGCCCUUGCCCUUGCCAAACAGUCCUAUUUUUCCUCUCUCAUUAGUUCAUGUUCCCGCAACCCCAGGCGUCUCUUUGACACCUUUAAUUCUCUUCUUCGCCCCACUGUGGCCACCCCCCAAGCCAACCUUACUGCUGAUAACGUUGCAUGCUACUUCACUGACAAAAUUGAACAGCUAAGGAAAGAAUUCUCCCCUCCUUGCCUUUCUGUUUCUCAAUCACACAUAGAUCAUGCCUUUCCUACCCUUCAGAUAUUCUCCCCAGCCACUUUCCAAAAGGUGGCUGCUCUUCUUUGCUCCUCUCGCCCCACCACUUGCCCGCUCGAUCCUGUCCCAUCUCACCUUAUCAGCUCUCUCUCCACUUGUCUCGUGCCUUCUCUAACACACAUCUUCAACUACUCGCUCUCUUCUGGCAUCGCCCCUGCUGACCUUAAACAUGCCACUGUAGUACCUAUACUAAAAAAAACAUCCCUCGACCCGUCCACCCCCUCUAACUACCGUCCCAUAUCCCUGCUCCCUUUUUCCUCAAAGCUUCUGGAACGACUUGUCUUUACCCGUGUGUCUCAUUUCCUCAAUUCCAACUCUCUCCUUGACCCCCUUCAAUCUGGCUUCCGCCCUCUCCACUCUACAGAGACUGCCCUUAUCAAAGUUACUAACGACCUAAUCGCAGCUAAAUCCAAAGGCCACUACUCCAUACUAAUACUUCUUGACCUCUUAGCGGCCUUUGACACCGUUGAUCAUGCUCUCCUUCUUUAAACUCUGCAAUCGCUUGGUCUCUGUGACUCUGUCCUCUCAUGGUUUUCCUCUUAUCUCUCCCAACGCUCAUUCAGUGUCUCUUUUUCUAAUGAUACCUCCUCCCCUCGCCCUGUCUCGGUUGGAGUCCCCCAAGGCUCCGUCCUUGGUCCCCUUCUAUUUUCUCUUUAUACUGCCUCUCUUGGCAAACAUAUUACCUCAUUUGGAUUCCACUACCACCUGUACGCUGAUGACACCCAGCUAUAUCUCUCCUCCCAGGACCUCUCCCCUGCUGUCCUGCAAGAAAGGGGCGGGGAGAGAUUGAGUUUCAGAAAGCGGGAGGACAUCCAGUCAGAGAUGGAAGAAAGGCAAGCAGUAACACACACACACUAAAACUAACACACUCCCUGACACUCACUAGCAGACACACACACUGACACACAAAAACUAACACUAAUACACACACACACUCUAACACUAACACACAUACACACAUGGUUUUUUUUAUGAUCUAAGUAUAUAUAUAUAUAUAUAUAUAUAUAUAUUUUUUUUUUUUUACACUUUACUUUUUAAUUAAUUUAUUUAAAUUUUAUUUUCAGCCAGCAGGGGGACCACCUGUAAUUACAGGCAGCCCCCCUGCUGGCAAUGCAGGAGGCAGCCAGCCCCGGCCAUGUGAUUGUGGGGUCCUCACAAGGACCUCACGCUCACAUGGCCGGGGGGCACCGGAGGAGGAGGAUCUACCACCGCGAUUGCUGGCGAACGGGUAAGUAAGGAAAGACCGGAGGGCGUACAAUUACGCCCGUCGGCGUUUAGAGCCGCCUAAAAUAGGGCGUAAUUGUAUGCCCUCUGGUCUUAAGGGGUUAAACUUGUGGUAUUUUGACUCUUUUCAUGCAACCAUUUUACCACCAAUCUAUGCCAAAAAUUGUUUAAUUGUUUUAAAAACGUCUUUCAAAAUAUUUUCACAAAAGGCUGGUGAUAUUGUGAAAAUAUUUUGAAAGAUGUUUUUAAAAAUAUAACUUUUUUGAAAUGCUUUAUAAAAAUUUUCCUUCUUUUUUUCAAAAAUUUUUUUACUCUUAUCACUCUUUUUUGUCUACAAUAUAUAUAUUUUGUUUUAUUUUUCUAUUAAGAUUAUUAUGAUUCAGUUCUUUUUUCUUUCUUUUUAUUUCCCCCUCCUCCCUUUUAUCCCUAUGAAUCUCCUGUACAUAUAUGGAUAUUUCUCCUCCAAUAGACACAUGAAUGCUAUGGAGGUUUUGUAUUUAAGUAUACAGGGUUUGAUCAGACGAACAUAGUCUGUCCUCUCUUUUUGUCCCUUUUAUAUAAGGGCAUUUAUCCUAUGUCAGGACUUAUUAGGAACUUUCUGUGACUGCCUGCUCAUUCAUAUAUAUGUAUGUGGUAUGUGGCGAUUUUGCUGUUCACUCUGUGCGCUGUAUCAUUUCUGUAUUGAUAUCUUGACUUGCGCACUGAUGAUUGUGAGAGAGCAUUUAUUCUAAGUUUGGCGCGCAUGCGCGGACACUCUGGCGGGACAUGCGCAUUAACUAAUCCCGGCAAGCGAGGGGAUUGGACGUUGCCAGCUUAGCACUACCUGAUGGGCGGUCAGUAGCGGCUAUAUAGAUGGGAAUGAGAGGGGGGGGUGGGAUCUAAUUAGACAUACUGUACUUUGCUCUUGAGAAAGGCGGUUUACCCGCCGAAACGCGCGUCAGGCUUGUUUCUCCGAUGUACAUUGUUAUACCUUUAGUGUUACUCUUUUAGAUUAAUGUUUUAGUGACUCUGGGGUUGAUCGGUUCUAUACGCUGGGAUGAUUAUUUAAUAGGGAGAUAUUGUGAGGUGGAUCUAUCUAGUUUUGUCUGUCUUACUUAGACUUACUUUAUAUUUAUAUUUAUAUCCAUCUCUACUUUUCAUUUCUCUCUUCGUUUAUAUUAUCUUCCCUAUCCUUUCGAUUUCCAAUGCAAGUCAACUAACUUGCACUUUCUGACUUUCUGCAGGGUUUAAUCUAUAAUAUAUAACCUACUUAGCACUAACUCUUUCUGAGUUUAGACUAUUAUAUGGAAUAGUGCUCCGAUUAUUUUCACCUAUACUGGAACCUUGCAGUUUAUAGACAGUAUUGUGUUAUCUUUAUGAGUCCUUAGGUAAUUUGAUUUAUUUUUUAUUUAUUUUUCUCAAUUUGUUUUUGUUUGAAUAUACCUUUACCUUUAGUGGACUCCUAUUAACAGUGUAUUGAGUGUUUAAAUACGUUGGGGCGACCAUAUAAUAUAGUAUGGAGUUACUAUGAGACUGAUUUUUUCAGCUCUGGGGUUUAUUUGAACUUUCUCUUUACUUAUAUGGUCCUCCCCAUUAGUUUACUCUUUUUAUACAAGUUUAUCCCUUUUGUUAGGUUCAAUAUGUAUCCAAGUAUCAUGUGUAGCUUUAACUCUGUUUGAGUUCAAUCUGCUACAUAUAACAGUGAUUGAUACAUGCUGUUUCCAUUAUAACCUUGUAGUCCACUGUCCUAUAUACGAGUCCUUAGGUUUUUUGAUUUUAUUCUUAAUAAAAUUUAUUUAUUUUCCUUAGACGUUGAUUUGUCUUGGGUGGUUUGAAGGAGAACAGCCUGAUCUGUUACGGGGUUGUUUUUUCCUUCACUUUUUUGUAUAUUUCGUGCUUUAUGCAGGGUUAUGCCCGUAUUGCCACCCUUAUAACCCGCUUUUCUCUGUACUCCCUAUUUGGAUUUUCUAUCUAGGGAAUACUUCUAUUUACUAUGUAUAAUAUAUAUAUAUAUUUUUUUUUUACUUUUUAGCAGCCUGGGGGACUGUCGGACAGCUCAGACAGUCCCCCUGUUGGCAGCUCCUCGACUCCUAUUGCUGCGAUGUAAUCAUGGUGAUCACAUAGCCCUGGAGGGCCAGGGUGGUCUCCGGCAGUCCCCCCCCCCCACCGACCGUGAUUGCUGCGUAUUGCUGGUCCAGG